GGGGUCGACUGGUUUUGACAGCGAGUCUAAUUGGGUAGUAAGCACGUCGAGCGCUGGGAUAUAGCUCGUAAAUCUCAUGUUUCACACUUUUUUAAACGGCGAAAAUAAUUACGCCUUAGCUGCAUAAUCUGAAUUAUAGUAAGAUUUGCCUUUGUCCCUACUAGGUAGGGAGCUAAGAUGUCUCGCGGAAGCCUUGAUUUACGGCGUCUGCACUAGAGGCACCGAUAAAGUAAAUAUAGAAACCAUAGGGUCUUGAUGUGGUUUUGAAACUUAAUUGAGAAUACGUGUAAAGUUGGUGGUUUUCGGCCGGCUUUAUGCCGACAAUUAAAUGAAAACUAAGCGUGUAGAAAGCUGUUUAAUUGCUUGUUUGGACGGGAGUUCGAAUCUCCCCGACUCCACUU
Molecule: transfer-messenger RNA, 401 nt
Filed under: Mesonia phycicola
Lineage: Bacteria; Pseudomonadati; Bacteroidota; Flavobacteriia; Flavobacteriales; Flavobacteriaceae
Description: Standard tmRNA
Rfam family: transfer-messenger RNA
About the family: Bacterial tmRNA, also known as 10Sa RNA or SsrA, is named for its dual tRNA and mRNA-like properties.
Source: Rfam by way of RNAcentral